UACGAAGGGGGUUAGCGUUGCUCGGAAUCACUGGGCGUAAAGCGCACGUAGGCGGGUUGCUAAGUCAGGGGUGAAAUCCUGGAGCUCAACUCCAGAACUGCCUUUGAUACUGGCGACCUCGAGUCCGGGAGAGGUGAGUGGAACUGCGAGUGUAGAGGUGAAAUUCGUAGAUAUUGGGAAGAACACCGGUGGCGAAGGCGGCUCACUGGCCCUGUACUGACGCUCAGGCCCGAAAGCGUGGGGAGCAAACAGG
Molecule: ribosomal RNA, 253 nt
Filed under: uncultured bacterium
Lineage: Bacteria
Description: partial 16S ribosomal RNA
Rfam family: Bacterial small subunit ribosomal RNA
Source: RNAcentral